Molecule: ribosomal RNA, 460 nt
Filed under: uncultured bacterium
Lineage: Bacteria
Description: partial 16S ribosomal RNA
Rfam family: Bacterial small subunit ribosomal RNA
Source: RNAcentral
CCUACGGGAGGCAGCAGUGAGGAAUAUUGGUCAAUGGACGAGAGUCUGAACCAGCCAAGUAGCGUGAAGGAUGACUGCCCUAUGGGUUGUAAACUUCUUUUAUAUGGGAAUAAAAUGUUCCACGUGUGGGCUUUUGUAUGUACCAUAUGAAUAAGCAUCGGCUAACUCCGUGCCAGCAGCCGAGGUAAUACGGAGGAUCCGAGCGUUAUCCGGAUUUAUUGGGUUUAAAGGGAGCGUAGGUGGAUUGUUAAGUCAGUUGUGAAAGUUUGCGGCUCAACCGUAAAAUUGCAGUUGAAACUGGCAGUCUUGAGUACAGUAGAGGUGGGCGGAAUUCGUGGUGUAGCGGUGAAAUGCUGAGAUAUCACGAAGAACUCCGAUUGCGAAGGCAGCUCACUGGACUGCAACUGACACUGAGGCUCGAAAGUGUGGGUAUCAAACAGGAUUAGAUACCCCGGUAGUC